ACAAUCUUCGGACCGUCGCGUCGGUCUAGCGAGCAAUGACACUCGCUCGGUGGAAGAACUGCCCUUCGUCGU
RNAcentral lists this microRNA precursor (72 nucleotides) under Bombyx mori (domestic silkworm). RNAcentral describes it as "mir-2774 microRNA precursor family". It matches the Rfam family "mir-2774 microRNA precursor family". The record is from Rfam by way of RNAcentral. Lineage: Eukaryota; Metazoa; Arthropoda; Insecta; Lepidoptera; Bombycidae.